Long non-coding RNA from Hibiscus syriacus, 304 nucleotides. RefSeq lists it as uncharacterized. The record is from RefSeq and is a predicted model, not a curated record. The transcript has 3 exons. Lineage: Eukaryota; Viridiplantae; Streptophyta; Magnoliopsida; Malvales; Malvaceae.
GCUAUUUAGGGUUUUUUUCUUAACUUCUUCAUUUGCUUCUGCCGUUCCAGACACAUUGUAAAUAAAAGCAGUAAGACUCUCAAUGAUUGAUGGAGCUUGGAAUUGGAGUUGGACUUAAUUUUUUGUAUGUACAAGAUUUUAGAAUGGCGACUGAGAUGAAGUGGUGACGACCGAGGUUGAGAUAUGUGGGCUGAUUUUUGGUAUUCUACACAAAAGGGAUCAAAAUGUAGUGAUUGUAAAAAUAUAGGUUGUUAUUGUUAUAUGUAAAAAUAUGAGUUAUUAUUGUAAUUUGUAAAAAGUAUAU